Molecule: unclassified non-coding RNA, 338 nt
Filed under: fungal sp.
Lineage: Eukaryota; Fungi
Description: partial internal transcribed spacer region
Rfam family: Eukaryotic small subunit ribosomal RNA (bases 1-45)
Source: RNAcentral
AGUCGUAACAAGGUAACCGUAGGUGAACCUGCGGUUGGAUCAUUACUUAACUUAAAAAUGUUUUGACUUUCUUAAGUCUUAACUUUUUAAUGAUUCUUCUUAACUUUAGUUCUAACUCGUUAAAAAGUUAGCGCUAAGUUUUUAAGAGUCCCAACCCAAAUGUGAACUUGUUAAACACAAUACCCAUCAGUGGGUUCAAAACUAAAUAGAAGUUUUUCUGUUUGAAUUUGAUCCCACUGUUGGAGUAUCAAUAUAAACAUUGACCCAAAACUUAAAAGUUAAAUUGGACCCAUUAAAUAAUUAAGAAACAACUUUUGACAACGGAUCUCUUGGCUCUU